Molecule: small nucleolar RNA, 138 nt
Filed under: Kryptolebias marmoratus (mangrove rivulus)
Lineage: Eukaryota; Metazoa; Chordata; Actinopteri; Cyprinodontiformes; Rivulidae
Description: Small nucleolar RNA SNORA15 (ENSKMAG00000015581.1)
Rfam family: Small nucleolar RNA SNORA15
About the family: ACA15 is a member of the H/ACA class of snoRNA that guide the sites of modification of uridines to pseudouridines.
Source: Rfam by way of RNAcentral
GCAUGGCUGAAUUCUGUGUUACUUUGUGGUGUAGUAAACACAGUCAGACACCGUGCUAAAGGAAUACAUUCCCACGCUGACCCGACAAGAAGGGAGAGCGUUCCCGCGCCUCUUUCUUACGUCAGAGUGAAUACAGUA